UGAGUUUGGAUAGGCGGUGCGUUUACUUGCGGUUAGUGUAAAAACAGUGGUGGCGAUGAGAUUAGAUACUGUAGCGAUACUGUAACGUGAGACAAAAAGUAAGCUAAACGCACCGCACCGCACCCAAUCGUCCAUCCAGACCCACCCUAAGUAUUAAAGAAGAGUACACAUAACACAUCACAUUAUCGUACAUCGCUGACAUAUAUAUAAUAAAAGGUUUAUAUUUAAUACCGACAAUCUAUGCAUCAACUAUAAAUUUAUAUGAUAAGCGAUAGACCUUGUUAUGAUCAUCUCUGUUUGGUCCAGUAGAAUGACCUGCGCCGGGGCUAUGACCGGGAGUUUUGGGCCGGAAAUCAUCAGUACCAUACUCCGUACCAACUUGUCUGCAACAAAUGCUUCAUAAUGAUCAGCUUUCAAAACUUUCCUCAUUAAAUGAAACUCCAUAAGCAAACAACAACACAAAGAGAAGGGCAAUUAUUUAGCCAUGGAAACUGAAAUAUUCAGUAACUGUAAAAACCUAACAAUGGAAUACAGAAAAAUAA
Molecule: long non-coding RNA, 542 nt
Filed under: Gossypium raimondii (Peruvian cotton)
Lineage: Eukaryota; Viridiplantae; Streptophyta; Magnoliopsida; Malvales; Malvaceae
Description: long non-coding RNA (GRAI_LNC011275)
Source: RNAcentral